GUGACUAGUGACAGAGUGAGGGAAUGGGUGACUAGUGGCAGAGUGAGGGAGGGAAGGGGUGACUAGUGACAGAGUGAGGAGAGGGGGUGACUGUCACUAGUCACCCCAUCCCUCUCUCUGUCACUAGUUACUCCCUCCCUAACUCUGUCACUGUGUCACCCGCUCCCUCACUCUGUCACUAGUCACCCCCUUACUCUGUCACUGUGUUACCCCCUCCCUCUGUCACUAGUCACCCCCUCCCUCACUCUGUCACUAAUCACCCCCUCUCUCCCUAGUCACCCCCUUCCUCACUCUGUCACUAGUCAC
This is a non-coding RNA of Pelobates cultripes (western spadefoot toad), 306 nucleotides long. The record is from the annotation of a GenBank genome assembly. Lineage: Eukaryota; Metazoa; Chordata; Amphibia; Anura; Pelobatidae.